Molecule: ribosomal RNA, 52 nt
Filed under: Biatora hypophaea
Lineage: Eukaryota; Fungi; Ascomycota; Lecanoromycetes; Lecanorales; Ramalinaceae
Description: partial 18S ribosomal RNA
Source: RNAcentral
GAGGAAGUAAAGUCGUAACAAGGUUUCCGUAGGUGACCUGCGAGGAUCAUUA